RNAcentral lists this ribosomal RNA (440 nucleotides) under uncultured bacterium. RNAcentral's name for it is "partial 16S ribosomal RNA". It matches the Rfam family "Bacterial small subunit ribosomal RNA", at positions 338 to 795 of the family's 1533-position model. The record is from RNAcentral.
CCUACGGGGGGCAGCAGUGGGGAAUAUUGCACAAUGGGGGAAACCCUGAUGCAGCGACGCCGCGUGAGUGAAGAAGUAUUUCGGUAUGUAAAGCUCUGUCAGCAGGGAAGAAAAUGACGGUACCUGACCAAGAAGCCCCGGCUAACUACGUGCCAGCAGCCGCGGUAAUACGUCGGGGGCAAGCGUUAUCCGGAUUUACUGGGUGUAAAGGGAGCGGAGACGGCAGGGCAAGUCUGGAGUGAAAGGCGGGGGCUCAACCCCCGGACUGCUCUGGAAACUGCCAGGCGGGAGUGCAGGAGAGGUAAGUGGAUUUCCUAGUGUAGCGGUGAAAUGCGUAGAUAUUAGGCGGAACACCAGUGGCGACGGCGGCUUACUGGACUGUAACUGACGUUGAGGCUCGAACGCGUGGGGAGCAAACAGGAUUAGAUACCCUGGUAGUC